UGGAACAAUAUUUUUGUUAUCAAACUUUCAAAGAAACAUGCUGGCCUAAAUAGCAGCCAGGAUGGAAGAUUACUGUGGCUAAAGCCCACUGUCUCAUGGCCAUAUAAACAGUGGUGCAAAGUGAGAGCCUUUGAGCUCUCCUGGACUGCAGCAGGCUGAGACCAGCACCUCUCUCUGAGUGGGGCCCUCUCAGAGAACAAGAGCUCUCAACAUUGCUGUUCCUGCAGGACCAUCACCAAACCACAGCAACAGAGCCUGGGCUGAUACCCCCGCUCCUGGGAACUCAACCCUGAGGAGAUACAAAGACAUCUCAUCUUUUGCUGAACUCAAGGGAAUUUUCACAGGAGUCACACCUUUCCUAAAGGAAAAGAGGAGCAGAACACUCUGGCACCAGCUGCCUUGCACAAAAAGACAGCGCUCAUGGGAAGGGAGGUUUGGGAUGCACCGCCAUGCACGUGUUGCCCAGACCAAGAAAAUCAAAGCACUGACAUCUGCCUUGGGAAGGUGACAGGAGGGAUCACAGGCAUAGAAACUUGGGCAACAAAGAGAAAUCACCUUGAUUCAGUCCCUAGGCAGCCCAUUUAGUUAUUAUUCCUGUCUUAAGCUCCCACCAACACUGUAAGCCACAAGUCAAGGGUCACAUGGGAAGACAUGAACAAUACCAGGAGCUGAAUCUGUUUGCCAAGGAAUGCUUUAGAGCUUUGCCAACAACAUUGCCCUCACCAUUUUUCUCCUAACUCAUCUGUUAUCUUCUUUACAAAAUUUUCAGCAGUUUUCCCUUUAACUGACAAACAUAUUGCUAGGGGCCUGAAGGCACUAAUAUACCCUAAAGGCCUCAAGCAGCUUCACCUGUAGCCUCCUCCCAUGUCCCUGCCCAUGGUCCUAGGAAGCAUUUAAGCUUGGUCCAGGGCUACUAAUCCUCGACUCUCUUUUGUAGGGGUGUUAGUCUUUGGCUCUGCUAGAGUUAUGAGUGUUUCUGUUUUAUGACUCCUGCUUGUAUUUUUAAGGCCCUAAUCUGUAGCAAGCUGGUGUGAGUACUGCUUUACUGUAAGGGCUUACAGAGCCUAACUGGGGGGAGCAGGGGGUUUGGGAACGUGGCAGUGAUUGUUCUUCCCCCCCCCCCCUCCCCUUGAUGCUGUAAAGGUGAGUGGUGCCUGCAUAGAGGAUGUAAGGUGCUCCUAAUUCCUUUUUGUAGAGGAAGAAACUGAUAUAUCCUCCAGUUGCAAAAGUAGUCUGCUGAAAUGAGGCUUUCACCUUUGUGCCUUUGCUCCUGCUUUUUAUGUAUCUCCUGCUGCAGCUGAAGUUUUACCCCGACUUUAUUCAAAUUGCAAGCGUGCUAAACCCGAGCGGGCUCUGGCCUGCUGCCCACGUGAGCAUCUCGGUGUGUGAGGGGGGAUCCCGGGACAGCAGAGGGAGCCGGAGCCCCGCGCAGCAGCCCCGGGCCGGGCUCGCUCCCCCGGGAGCCUCCGGGCUGAUCCCGCAGCGCCAGCAACUGCGGCUGUCCCUGCUUCGUGCGGCUGGUGUUGAAAUAGAGAUUUAUAGAGUUCACUUGAGUUAACAAAAUGAAUUAAGAAUUUAAAUUUUUAACUUGUAGAAUUAUGUGUUGAAUUUUAACCUUUUACUUAAGAAACCUCUGCCGCGGUACAAAGGGCAUAGGAAAAUGCAAAUUUCUGAAGCUUCUUGCAUAAAGAACAGUACUGGAGGACACCAAAAGAUGCAAACAACCCAGAUAAAGAAGCUCCUCUCUCUCCAAGCCUAUCAAGACUGACAGACGUACUCAGAUAAGCACCAAAGGACAGAAAGCGCACGCGCAGAGAGGAAAAAUUCAAAAGUUCAAUCAUGAGGAAGACCACAAUCUUCAGCCUCAGGACCACCAAGAGACCCCCCGUACGACCACCACAGCAAACCACGCGUGCCCAGAAAGGCGUGGACUUAUUUAGCAUGAAAGGCGAGGACAGGCGGGGCCAGGGGUUGAAUAUGCAUGGCAAAGUUGUGCAAUGUAUUGCAUAUGGAACAUCUUUGGGAAUAAAGGUGUGGGUCAGACUGAGGCUCGGGGCACAAGUUUUGGAGAGCUAUCUCAGUUGUGUCGGGCGCUGACAUACAUACCCACUUCAUAACUACCCUGGGUUGUGGAGUCUAUUUAUUUAUUCCGCGUAUCGCUUCACUGUCAGUCUUUAAAACAGCAAAGCUUUGUAAGGUGGAUAAACAGAACAAUUCUUUCCAGACCCACAUGUGAUGUUCCUUGGGUUUGCUAACCUGCUCUGCUUGUAGCAAAGCCUGUGUGGCUUUUGGUCUGGCAACAGCUGCAAUGAUACAGCCACUAACAGGUCUCAUUGAUUGCUGGUAUCAAAUAUACUGGCAACUUGCUCACAUUUGUGAUGGAUUUUUUUGUAAUCAAGCUCAUCUCUUCAUCAAUCUAGUUAAUCAAUUUUAUUGUCCCUAGGGCAGAGCUGCUUGUGGACAGGUAUAACUGGUGAUAUUGAAGUAGCCUUGGCAUAUGAAUCAAAGGGAAGAAAAGACCCUGGGUGUAAAGAAGCUUCUAUUUAUCCUACUGAAAUCUUAACUUUGGUAAUGAAAUAUUUAAUGCACUUUUAUUUAAAGAAACAUCUCUAUGAAAUGAAAACAAUAAACAUCUGCUGUUGGCUUAAUAGCUUAAGUGUAGCUGGAACAUUCAAUCAAUCUGAAAAUAUUGUGAGUAUAUUUCAAAAUGGUGGAGGUUAUUGCUAUGAUACAUCUAACCUUAAUGGCAAUGGGAAAAAUAUAUCCUCUCUUGAGAGUUCUUGAAUAAACCUGUCCGUCUGUGACCAGUUUA
This is an RNA transcript of Vidua chalybeata, 2812 nucleotides long. It is a transcript of the gene named otospiralin, with no coding region annotated. Lineage: Eukaryota; Metazoa; Chordata; Aves; Passeriformes; Viduidae. The transcript has 4 exons. The record is from RefSeq and is a predicted model, not a curated record.